AACGAACGCUGGCGGCGCGCCUAAUACAUGCAAGUCGAGCGAGAAGGUGUAGCAAUACACUUGUAAAGCGGCGAACGGGUGAGGAAUACAUGGGUAAUCUACCAUCGAGUGGGGAAUAACCAGCCGAAAGGUUGGCUAAUACCGCGUACGCCUCCGAAUCUUCGGGUUCGGAGGGAAAGCCACACUGUGAGUGCGGCGCUCUUUGAUGAGCUCAUGUCCUAUCAGCUUGUUGGUAGGGUAACGGCCUACCAAGGCUUUGACGGGUAGCUGGUCUGAGAGGACGAUCAGCCACACUGGCACUGCGACACGGGCCAGACUCCUACGGGAGGCAGCAGUAAGGAAUAUUGCGCAAUGGGCGAAAGCCUGACGCAGCGACGCCGCGUGGGGGAUGAAGGUCUUCGGAUUGUAAACCCCUUUCGGAGGGAAGAUGGAGCGAGCAAUCGUUCGGACGGUACCUCCAGAAGCAGCCACGGCCAACUUCGUGCCAGCA
This 490-nucleotide ribosomal RNA is filed under the name uncultured bacterium. Its description in RNAcentral is "bacterial SSU rRNA". It matches the Rfam family "Bacterial small subunit ribosomal RNA", at positions 29 to 513 of the family's 1533-position model. The record is from RNAcentral.